Molecule: transfer RNA, 72 nt
Filed under: Marmota marmota marmota (Alpine marmot)
Lineage: Eukaryota; Metazoa; Chordata; Mammalia; Rodentia; Sciuridae
Also listed under: 1 other name
Rfam family: tRNA
About the family: Transfer RNA (tRNA) molecules are approximately 80 nucleotides in length.
Source: Rfam by way of RNAcentral
GAAGUUGUGGCUCAGGGGUAGAGCACUCGCCUAGCAUGUGUGAGGCCCUGGGUUUGAUCCUCAGCAACAUAU